CAGCAACGCCCGUCUUACCAAAUAAAUUUGUCCUCUUACCCGAUAAACCACGUUAAAUUUCACUUACAAUCCAAAACUUAUAUACCGCCAUCUAAAGAAUUAAUUGCAAAAUAUUUCUCUAAAUAAAAAAUAACAAGUUAGGUCAAGGUGUAGUCAAUAUUUAAGUAUGAGAUGAAUUACAUUAAAUACAAUUUAAGGAUUUAAAAUUAAAAUUUAACAAGAAAAGGGAUUUAAAAGUAAUUUUACAAAAAUAAUAUUCCAACAUGAAUUAGAUAAUAAAUGUGCACACAUCGCCCGUCGCUCUUAAACA
RNAcentral lists this ribosomal RNA (310 nucleotides) under Benoitia lepida. RNAcentral's name for it is "partial 12S ribosomal RNA". The record is from RNAcentral. Lineage: Eukaryota; Metazoa; Arthropoda; Arachnida; Araneae; Agelenidae.